This 756-nucleotide ribosomal RNA is filed under the name uncultured bacterium. Its description in RNAcentral is "bacterial SSU rRNA". It matches the Rfam family "Bacterial small subunit ribosomal RNA", at positions 8 to 796 of the family's 1533-position model. The record is from RNAcentral.
AGAGUUUGAUCAUGGCUCAGAAUCAACGCUGGCGGCGCGCCUAACACAUGCAAGUCGAACGAGAAAGUGGAGCAAUCCAUGAGUAAAGUGGCGUACGGGUGAGUAACACGUGGGUGAUCUACCUCUUAGUGAGGAAUAACGCUGGGAAACCGGCGCUAAUACCGCAUGAGCCCGAGAGGGGAAAGUCGCAAGACGCUGAGAGAGGAGCCCGCGGCCGAUUAGCUAGUUGGUGGGGUAAGAGCCCACCAAGGCAAAGAUCGGUAGCCGGCCUGAGAGGGCACACGGCCACACUGGCACUGAAACACGGGCCAGACUCCUACGGGAGGCAGCAGUGGGGAAUCUUGCACAAUGGGGGAAACCCUGAUGCAGCGACGCCGCGUGAGCGAUGAAGCCCUUCGGGGUGUAAAGCUCUUUCGGCAGGGAAGAUGAUGACGGUACCUGCAGAAGCAGCUGCGGCUAACUACGUGCCAGCAGCCGCGGUAAUACGUAGGCAGCGAGCGUUGUUCGGAGUUACUGGGCGUAAAGGGUGUGUAGGCGGUUGCUUAAGUUUGGUGUGAAAUCUCCCGGCUCAACUGGGAGGGUGCGCCGAAUACUGAGUGACUAGAGUGCGGGAGAGGAAAGUGGAAUUCCUGGUGUAGCGGUGAAAUGCGUAGAUAUCAGGAGGAACACCGGUGGUGUAGACGGCUUUCUGGACCGUAACUGACGCUGAGACACGAAAGCGUGGGUAGCAAACAGGAUUAGAUACCCUAGUAGUCC